AGUGGUCAAGCUAAUAAGAGCUGACGGUGGAUACCUAGGCACACAGAGGCGAAGAAGGACGUGGUUACCGACGAAAUGCUCCGGGGAGUUGGAAGCAAACAUUGAGCCGGAGAUAUCCGA
RNAcentral lists this ribosomal RNA (120 nucleotides) under Nostoc sp. GBBB01. RNAcentral's name for it is "partial 23S ribosomal RNA". It matches the Rfam family "Bacterial large subunit ribosomal RNA", at positions 1 to 117 of the family's 2925-position model. The record is from RNAcentral. Lineage: Bacteria; Bacillati; Cyanobacteriota; Cyanophyceae; Nostocales; Nostocaceae.